UACGAAGGGGGCUAGCGUUGCUCGGAAUUACUGGGCGUAAAGGGCGCGUAGGCGGCACUGUUAGUCAGGCGUGAAAUUCCUGGGCUCAACCUGGGGACUGCGCUUGAUACGGCAGAGCUAGAGGAUGGAAGAGGCUCGCGGAAUUCCCAGUGUAGAGGUGAAAUUCGUAGAUAUCGGGAGGAACACCAGUGGCGAAGGCGGCGACCUGGGCCAAUAUUGACGCUGAGGUGCGAAAGCGUGGGUAGCAAACAGG
RNAcentral lists this ribosomal RNA (253 nucleotides) under uncultured bacterium. RNAcentral's name for it is "partial 16S ribosomal RNA". It matches the Rfam family "Bacterial small subunit ribosomal RNA", at positions 524 to 776 of the family's 1533-position model. The record is from RNAcentral.